UUGAAAACAGGUUGAAGCGUGUAGUCUAACAUUUUGUAUACUCUUUGGUCCCCAAGUCCCAACCAUGAAAAAUACGCACAGAUGUAAGUUUGUUCAGUCACCGGAAGCAAUGCUCCAGUCACAAGAGCAUGAAUCAUUCGAUUUCAAAACUCGCUUCAUCGGUGUACCUCAAAAAAAACAACUGCUUUUACAGUGCAUUGAUCUUAUACCAGUUUUGUAUGGCUAGAGAUGGAGAUGGCUAACUUUGAUAAAUUGGUGCCAACGCAUCAGUUGAUACAUUGGGAAGUAAGGCAUAGCCACAAAUGACCGAGUCCUUGUACAUCAACUUUCCAACAAAAGGAAUAAAGCAAACAUUGUCAGCGCCUUUUCAUCAAAUGAGCCGACAUAUGAGUCACUGAUAAGUUGAAUAACAUGAGUCCAGUCCAGUGUAGAUACUUGGGAGGUCAACAGGGUCCCAGUUUCCAUGUUUUGUAGGCUGAGAAGCACCGAGUAACAGUAUGCAGUAGCUAACUGAUGAAACUUAUAAAUAUACCAUCACACCUAAGCACUGGCUUAUCUUCAAAACUCCUGCAUGGACAAAAAUAAUUACACUGAACACUGUAAAAAAAGACAGUAUGACUACAGAGUUUCAUAUUGACAAUGUUUGGAACACGUGUUGCUCCAAGUUCAUUGCAACGCAACACAAAGGUGAAAAAUACGGUACUAGAUACCUUUUGAAUGUCUGGUGUCAGGCUGUCAGCAAACUCCUCUCAAGUUGCCGUCUCCAAUCACGUCUAAGUGCAAGAGAUGAUGCCGGGACCAUUCCGCCUAGCAAUCACGACCUCAGCGACUCGAACGGUCGAACCCAACCGACCCCGGACUUGCCGAUUCUCUUUCAUAACCUUCGCCUGCCCCCGGCACUAUAGAUGUCCAUUCGGGCCGCCCGGCCCGAUCCGGCACGGGCCCGGUGAGGCCCGUUAAAUUUCGUGCCGGGCCUGGCCCGUCACGACGACUUUGUCGUGCCGUGCCGUGCUGGCCCACGGGCCUCACCGACGGCCCAAGC
This 1042-nucleotide long non-coding RNA is filed under the name Setaria italica (foxtail millet). RNAcentral describes it as "long non-coding RNA (SITA_LNC000214)". Lineage: Eukaryota; Viridiplantae; Streptophyta; Magnoliopsida; Poales; Poaceae. The record is from RNAcentral.